GGCAAUUAGAACCAAUUUUCAACCGAUGAGCUUGGAUUAUUGUACAGCUAUAGAUGUUUUGGUUCAGAGUGCCAGCCUGUCAACUGUAUAUUUUGAAACCCGAAUUAAGGACUAUAAACACAGGUAGAGGACAGAUGACUUGGUGACUUUUGAAAGAAAUGCGAAAGGGUGAAGGACAUGCAGAUUGAGUAUGUUCAGAGGGUGAUGGAGCUGGACGCUGCAGAGAACCACCACAAAUUCCUCUUUGAGGCUGUGGCCGGCUUCAACCUGGCCAAAACUAGGCACAGAGGUCGGAACUUCAUUGGCCAGUGGGGCAACCACCAUGGGGGCAACCAUGUGUGCUGCAAUAUCAGAGGAUGGUGUGGUGGGACGCGUACCUCUUAUUGGAUCCUAUAAUGCAGCUCUCCAUGUAAACUUCCUACAGUAGGUCUGUCAAGCUGAUGGAGUGACUUACGAAAUGGUGUGGGACAUAUUGUGUCUUUUUCUCUCGACAUAUAUCUUGCAGAGGCAGGAGUUUGUAGUUUUCAGAUGGACUUUAUCAGCAGCUAACAAAGCCAGGAGAAUCCAUGGAAUCUCCUAUUUUCUCAAUGUUUUAUACAGAGGGAACAUGUCCCUCCUAUCUAGGGUGUCUGAUAACCAAUAACAUACUGCAUAUGCUGAUACAUCAUUAAUAAUUAAACAACCAACACACUUGGGCAUUGUGCCACUAUUACCUCUUAUCUUAUAUGUUCAAAUUUCCUUUCCCUCGCUUUCUGGUUGCUUGGAGUUUUUCCAGCACACAUCCGGUUUUUCUCUUAUCCUGUUGUUUUUCUCAAUUUUUGCAUACACAGGAUGCUCCCACAGUUAAAGCACUUGAGUGAUUCAACAACACAUUUCACCUUAUCUAACCCAGCUCAUGUACUUAUUUCACCUUUCUUUACGAGGUCCUUCAUGUGCGCUGGUUUUUAUACAACCAGUACAAGAACACACAGUUUACUAAUACAGACAAUGUUAGGUUCCACCAUUCUGAAAUGGUGCAGGCAUGGCUUCAGCUCAUCCAGUUUAUAACCCUGUACUACAUACUCACCUUUCCUCUGCCCAAUUGACGAAUUCUUCUCAGCACGGAGGUGGAAGGUUUAUGACCGUCGCCCUCAGGACCAUGCCACCCUCCUCCAUCACAGUGACAUCACAGCAGAUCAAUGUCAGGCCUGGAUUCGCCAUGCAAGAAGAUUUUAUUUCCCAGAUGUAUGGCAAAUGAAAAUAUCCAGUGUGAUGUGGAUGAGAACUUAUGGCCAAAUCCACAAAAGAGGCUUGAUGUUAAAUAACAAAUAUUUUGUUUUCACUGCAGUUGAGUGUUUCUUCCACUGUUGCUGUGGCUCAAACAAUUGUUGCAAUUGUAUUCAAUAAAUUCAGAUUUUGUCCAAAGA
Molecule: long non-coding RNA, 1406 nt
Organism: Conger conger (European conger)
Lineage: Eukaryota; Metazoa; Chordata; Actinopteri; Anguilliformes; Congridae
Exons: 3
Source: RefSeq, a predicted model, not a curated record